GGUGGGAUAAUGGUAUUAUGGUUAACGUUUUUUAAGGAGGCCAUAUCUUUUAGGAACACAUGCUUAAAUCCUUUUGGGUCAAAUGGUGUGAUGUCUGGGAUUAGCUUCAAAAUAAUCCAGGUGAAAAAAGGUAGGCGUAAGGGCCUAAAUGAAAAAAGAUUGGUCCUAAGUUGACAAUUGUUCAUAAUAUUAUUCUACUUUUGUAUAUGUUUGAAAUUAUCCAUAAUAAAAUGUUUUUCACAAAAAAGAUGGUUUGUCACCACUGAGGAUAGCAAAUCAAGACAUAAUUACAAAAGAGGUAUUUGAAAAUGUCUCAAGCAAUAGCAGUAUCCUUAAGAUACAUGAACAGAUUCCCCAGGUGAAUACUUUGAAGGAAACAACACUCGUUUAGAUGUAUCGGUCAUGAUCUGUUUGAUUGUUUUGAAAUCAGUUUUUUGGGGUAGGUGUCCAGAAACUAUAAGAAACUCUACUGAGCAGCUUACUGCAGAGUUCAAUAAAAAGAUCCAGUCCCUGACCUUUUAACACAUGUGCAAGGGGGCUCUUAUUAUGUGUCAGACACUGUGUGAGGUGUGAAGAUGAGUACGGCGUGGAGGGGGAGGCGGAGAAGUGUGGCGGGAUCAGGUGUGGCUGCCAGUGACCAGAACUUCAAAAUAAAAAUGCCUUGACAAGAUAGCAGUUUAUGUCCCUCUCAUGAGAAUAGAGUCCAGGGCUGGAACGGCACCUCCAUGAUCACUGUCAACUGCUGACUCCCCAAAUACCACCAGAACAGCCUGCCAACGAACCAAAGCUAAGGUGAUGAAGCCAACUGCAGGAGGGGAGAGCGUGGCCUUGACCAGAGGCAGUCCGGAGACUCUCUUGGUGUGUCAUAAGGGGCAGGGCCAGGUCACAAAACCCUCACGGGAGAGGUCCCUCCCUAUACCCGGAGGAAAGGAGCAUCUGGAUGUCCACAGAGAAGGGAAGCUGAAGAAUCCUAACAAACAGGCCUCGCUCACUGGACCCACCUCACUGCUCCACCUCACGCUCUCUGACUUUUCAUAUUUUUCCACGACUGUCCACUCUUCGUCAAACCCAGCACAAAA
This 1079-nucleotide long non-coding RNA is filed under the name Equus caballus (horse). RNAcentral describes it as "lncRNA (ENSECAG00000059016.1)". The record is from RNAcentral. Lineage: Eukaryota; Metazoa; Chordata; Mammalia; Perissodactyla; Equidae.